UAAGGAAUAUUGGACAAUGGUCGCAAGACUGAUCCAGCCAUGCCGCGUGCAGGAAGACGGCCCUAUGGGUUGUAAACUGAUUUUGUACCAGAGAAAACCUAUCUACGUGUAGAUAGCUGAUAGUAUGGUAAGAAUAAGCAUCGGCUAACUUCGUGCCAGCAGCCGCGGUAAGACGAAGGAUGCAAGCGUUAUCCGGAUUCAUUGGGUUUAAAGGGUGCGUAGGCGGGCUUGUAAGUCAGUGGUGAAAUCUCUCAGCUUAACUGAGAAACUGCCAUUGAUACUGCAGGCCUAGAGUAUAGAUGACGUUGGCGGAAUAUGACAUGUAGUGGUGAAAUACUUAGAUAUGUCAUAGAACACCGAUUGCGAAGGCAGCUAACGAAACUAUAACUGACGCUGAGGCACGAAAGUGCGGGGAUCAAACA
Molecule: ribosomal RNA, 422 nt
Filed under: uncultured bacterium
Lineage: Bacteria
Description: bacterial SSU rRNA
Rfam family: Bacterial small subunit ribosomal RNA
Source: RNAcentral